CAGGCAACGACCCGAAGGGCGAAGCGCGCAGCGCUGAGUCAUCCUUCCCCCACCACCA
RNAcentral lists this small RNA (58 nucleotides) under Salmonella enterica subsp. enterica serovar Infantis. RNAcentral describes it as "partial RtT sRNA". It matches the Rfam family "RtT RNA", at positions 74 to 130 of the family's 130-position model. Rfam says of the family: This family represents a bacterial cis-regulatory element known as RtT RNA. The exact function of RtT is unknown although it is thought that it may be involved in changing the cellular response in relation to amino acid starvation. Lineage: Bacteria; Pseudomonadati; Pseudomonadota; Gammaproteobacteria; Enterobacterales; Enterobacteriaceae. RNAcentral also lists the same sequence under 30 other names. The record is from RNAcentral.